GGUUUGGAGACUCGAUGAAAGUACAGUAUAACUCAUUAACUAUGUUGGUUUCGGUUUAUGCAAGAAUUCGGGCCUAUCUCGUCACGUGUGUAUUGUAUUUUUUCCCGCACAACCAAUAGCAAUGUUUAAAUUGAGCAUUUGUUCAAGUUACGGAUGGAUAACUCAACCACAAACUUGUUAUUGGUUAUUUGAGCGAAAAUACAAUACACACGUGACGAGAUAGGAUCAAAUUCUUGCAUAAAGCUGGACAAUAACAUAGUUAAUGAGUUAUAUUGUACUUUCAUCGAGUCUCCAAACCAUCUAUUAAAAUAACUGUGAUUGAACUGGGCUGUUUCGACACUUAAGCCUGUUCUAAACGUCGCCUUUUACAUGCGCCGAAUGCAAUGGACGAG
Paramuricea clavata is the source of this 392-nucleotide non-coding RNA. The record is from the annotation of a GenBank genome assembly. Lineage: Eukaryota; Metazoa; Cnidaria; Anthozoa; Malacalcyonacea; Plexauridae.